UACAGAGGUCCCAAGCGUUGUUCGGAUUCACUGGGCGUAAAGGGUGCGUAGGUGGUUGGGCAAGUCUGAUGUGAAAUCUCCGGGCUUAACCCGGAAAUGGCAUUGGAAACUGCCUGGCUAGAGUGUUGGAGGGGGGACUGGAAUUCUCGGUGUAGCAGUGAAAUGCGUAGAUAUCGAGAGGAACACCAGAGGCGAAGGCGGUUACCUGGACAGUUACUGACGCUCAGGCACGAAAGCAUGGGGAGCAAAAGGG
Molecule: ribosomal RNA, 253 nt
Filed under: uncultured bacterium
Lineage: Bacteria
Description: partial 16S ribosomal RNA
Rfam family: Bacterial small subunit ribosomal RNA
Source: RNAcentral